RNAcentral lists this unclassified non-coding RNA (254 nucleotides) under Hevea brasiliensis (rubber tree). The record is from RNAcentral. Lineage: Eukaryota; Viridiplantae; Streptophyta; Magnoliopsida; Malpighiales; Euphorbiaceae.
UCCAAUGCAGGUAUCGGGUAGGAGCAGGAUGUGCUCCAGUUGGCUCUUCUUCUGGUAGGUUUCUUCUCUGGUCUUCUGCGGGACCCCGAUGUUCGCAUUGUUGCUAGUCAUUAACGGCAUCGUUUUGAUACCUGCCAUUGUUGAUCUUGAGAGAAAGAAGAUAAGAAUCGGCGACUUUUAUACAGAUACAAGUUAGGGUUACUGGAAAUGGACCUACAAGAAGAAAAAUUGAAGGUUUCUUGUACGGAUUUCGA